Molecule: ribosomal RNA, 305 nt
Filed under: uncultured Alphaproteobacteria bacterium
Lineage: Bacteria; Pseudomonadati; Pseudomonadota; Alphaproteobacteria
Description: bacterial SSU rRNA
Rfam family: Bacterial small subunit ribosomal RNA
Source: RNAcentral
GCACGAGCGCACCCACGUCCCUAGUUGCCAUCAUUCAGUUGGGCACUCCAGGGAGACUGCCGGUGAUAAGCCGAGAGGAAGGUGUGGAUGACGUCAAGUCCUCAUGGCCCUUACGGGCUGGGCUACACACGUGCUACAAUGGCGGUGACAGUGGGAUGCGAAGGGGCGACCCUUAGCAAAUCUCAAAAAGCCGUCUCAGUUCGGAUUGCACUCUGCAACUCGAGUGCAUGAAGGUGGAAUCGCUAGUAAUCGUAGAUCAGAACGCUACGGUGAAUACGUUCCCGGGCCUUGCACACACCGCCCGU